Molecule: ribosomal RNA, 253 nt
Filed under: uncultured bacterium
Lineage: Bacteria
Description: partial 16S ribosomal RNA
Rfam family: Bacterial small subunit ribosomal RNA
Source: RNAcentral
UACAGAGGUCUCAAGCGUUGUUCGGAAUCACUGGGCGUAAAGGGUGCGUAGGCGGCACGGUAAGUCAGAGGCGAAAUCCCGGAGCUCAACUUCGGAAUUGCCUCCGAUACUGCCGUGCUUGAGGACUGGAGAGGAGAUUGGAAUUCACAGUGGAGCAGUGAAAUGCGUAGAUAUCGUGAGGAAGACCAGUGGCGAAGGCGGGUCUCUGGACAGUUCCUGACACUGAGGCACGAAGGCCAGGGGAGCAAACGGG